AUGGCUCCUGAAGACGCUGACAGGUAUGAAUGUUUAGUUGCUCAACGUGUUUUGAGUGUGCAGGUCACACAAGCUGAGCAAAAUCAGAGGCACAAUUUGUUCCAUACCAAGGGAGUUGUGAAGGAACGUUCUGUGCGCGUCAUCAUCGACGGAGGGAGCUGCAACAACUUGGCUAGCAUGGAGAUGGUGGAGAAGCUUUCUCUCACCACAAGACCACAUCCACAUCCUUACUACAUCCAAUGGUUCAACAACAGCGGCAAGGUUAAGGUAACACGUACUGUUCGUGUGCAUUUUAGUAUCUCUACAUAUGCUGAUUAUGUUGAUUGUGAUGUGGUACCUAUGCAAGCAUGUUCCAUAUUACUUGGUAGACCAUGGCAAUUUGAUAAAAAUUCUGUACACCAUGGUAGAAACAAUCACUAUACUCUUGUUCAUAAGGAUAAAAAUAUUACUUUGCUUCCUAUGACUCCUGAUUCCAUUUUGAAAGAUGAUAUUAAUAGAGCUAAUAAAGCAAAACAGGAGACGAAUAAGAGUGAAAAUCAGAUUGUGGCAAAAGAAUUUGAGCAACAAAUGAAGCCUAAUAAUAAACCAUCUAGUGUUGCUUCUGAAAUUAAAUUGAAAAGUGCAUGUUUAUUUGCCACCAAAUCUGAUAUUGAUGAGCUAGAUUUCAGCAAAUCUGUUUGCUAUGCUUUUGUGUGCAAAGAGGCAUUAUUUUCAUUCGAGGACGUGCCUUCCUCUUUGCCUCCUGCUGUCACUAACAUUUUGCAGGAGUUCGCUGACGUCUUUCCACAAGACGUGCCACCGGGAUUACCACCUAUUCGAGGGAUUGAGCAUCAGAUUGACUUAAUUCCCGGUGCUUCACUGCCAAACCGUGCACCAUACCGUACCAAUCCAGAGGAGACGAAGGAGAUUAUGCGCCAAGUACAAGAGCUUCUCGACAAAGGUUAUAUACGCGAAUCCCUUAGUCCUUGUGCUGUUCCUAUUAUUCUAGUGCCGAAAAAGGAUGGUACAUCACGUAUGUGUGUUGAUUGUAGAGGCAUUAAUAAUAUUACUAUUCGUUAUCGUCAUCCUAUUCCUAGGCUAGAUGAUAUGGUUGAUGAAUUGAGUGGCUCUACAAUAUUCUCCAAAGUUGAUUUGCGUAGUGGCUACCAUCAAAUUCGUAUGAAAUUGGGAGAUGAAUGGAAAACAGCAUUUAAAACUAAGUUUGGAUUAUAUGAGUGGUUAGUCAUGCCUUUUGGGUUAUCUAAUGCACCUAGUACUUUCAUGAGAUUAAUGAACGAAGUUUUACGUGCUUUCAUUGGAUGA
RNAcentral lists this ribosomal RNA (1302 nucleotides) under Triticum aestivum (bread wheat). RNAcentral's name for it is "partial small subunit ribosomal RNA". Lineage: Eukaryota; Viridiplantae; Streptophyta; Magnoliopsida; Poales; Poaceae. The record is from RNAcentral.